Molecule: ribosomal RNA, 253 nt
Filed under: Faecalibacterium prausnitzii
Lineage: Bacteria; Bacillati; Bacillota; Clostridia; Eubacteriales; Oscillospiraceae
Description: partial 16S ribosomal RNA
Rfam family: Bacterial small subunit ribosomal RNA
Source: RNAcentral
AACGUAGGUCACGAGCGUUGUCCGGAAUUACUGGGUGUAAAGGGAGCGCAGGCGGGAAGACAAGUUGGAAGUGAAAUCUAUGGGCUCAACUCAUAAACUGCUUUCAAAACUGUUUUUCUUGAGUAGUGCAGAGGUAGGCGGAAUUCCCGGUGUAGCGGUGGAAUGCGUAGAUAUCGGGAGGAACACCAGUGGCGAAGGCGGCCUACUGGGCACCAACUGACGCUGAGGCUCGAAAGUGUGGGUAGCAAACAGG